GACGAACGCUGGCGGCGUGCUUAACACAUGCAAGUCGAACGGAAAGGCCCUGCUUUUGUGGGGUGCUCGAGUGGCGAACGUGUGAGUAACACGUGAGUAACCUGCCCUUGACUUUGGGAUAACUUCAGGAAACUUGGGCUAAUACCGGAUAGGGGCUCCUGCUGCAUGGUGGGGGUUGGACAGUUUCGGCGGUUGGGGAUGGACUCGCGGCUUAUCAGCUUGUUGGUGGGGUAGUGGCUUACCAAGGCUUUGACGGGUAGCCGGCCUGAGAGGGUGACCGGCCACAUUGGGACUGAGAUACGGCCCAGACUCCUACGGGAGGCAGCAGUGGGGAAUAUUGCACAAUGGGCGGAAGCCUGAUGCAGCAACGCCGCGUGCGGGAUGACGGCCUUCGGGUUGUAAACCGCUUUCGCCUGUGACGAAGCGUGAGUGACGGUAUGGGUAAAGAAGCACCGGCUAACUACGUG
Molecule: ribosomal RNA, 467 nt
Filed under: uncultured bacterium
Lineage: Bacteria
Description: partial 16S ribosomal RNA
Rfam family: Bacterial small subunit ribosomal RNA
Source: RNAcentral